This 1127-nucleotide ribosomal RNA is filed under the name Tubulipora flabellaris. Its description in RNAcentral is "large subunit ribosomal RNA". The stretch from base 754 to 1074 matches the Rfam family "Archaeal large subunit ribosomal RNA", at positions 2150 to 2716 of the family's 2987-position model. Lineage: Eukaryota; Metazoa; Bryozoa; Stenolaemata; Tubuliporida; Tubuliporidae. The record is from RNAcentral.
UAAAUAGACUGUAAAUUACAAAUAUGAUAUUAUAAAGUAGUUUUUACGAAAUAUUCUUUAAAAUUUUUACUGCAAAGGAAAAUAAUUAAAAAAGCAUAGUAAUAAAUAAUAUGUACCUUGUGUAUGAUGGUUUAACUAAACAAUAUUGAUAUCCAGAGGACUAGAUUGAUCAGGAGUUAUAAAUAAACAGUUUAGAACUUAUAUGAUAAUGUAGCAUUAUUACAUAAAGAUUUAUUUAUAGAAAUGAAACGUUAACGUCUGAUUAUAGCUAGUUUUUUCAAAAAGCAUCAAUGCUUUUAUCAUAGUAUUAGGGAUAAGCUUAAUAUUAUUUAUUUAAAACAAGUUAUUUUUAAAUCAAGGCUUAUAAGUAGCCAAUAAUUAUUAUUAUGUAAAAAUAUAAAAUACUUAAUGUUAAAUUUUAAUUAAUGAAAAUAUUAUAUAUAUUUAGAAUAUAAAAAAUAAUGUUUAAAAUAAGUACUAAAGAAAAUAAUAAAUUUAUUUGAAUUUAAUUAUAUAAAAGGAACUCGGCAAAUAUUUAAUUCGACUGUUUACCAAAAACAUUGCAAUAAGAAUUUAUUUAGUGUAUAGACUGCUCAGUGACUAGAUAUGUUAAACAGCUAUAGAAAAUCUAUACAAAGGUAGCGUAAUCAACUGUUCUUUAAUGGAGAACCUGUAUCAAUGUCUAGACGAAAUUAAAACUGUCUCUUAUAUAAAAAAGAAAUUUAAUUUUUAAGUGAAGAAGCUUAAAUUAUAUAAAAAGACGAAGAGACCCCGUUGAAUUUCAGAAUAAUUUGCUAUUGCAAAUAUUUCUUAUGCUGGGGCCGUAAAGGAAAUAGUUUUCCUGCAAUUAAAAUUUAUAAUGACCUUCUAAUAGAAAUUAUAAGAAUAAAUUACCACGGGGAUAACAGUGUAUUGUUUUCAGGAAGUGCUUAUUGAAGAAAACAUUCACCACCUCGAUGUUGGACUAAGAUUUCCUUAUGGUGCAAAAGUUAUAAAGGUAAGUCUGUUCGGCUUUUAAAAUCUUACGUGAUCUGAGUUAAAAUCGGUGUGAGCCAGAUUGGAUUCUAUCUUUUAUGAAAUAAAUAUUUUUUAGUACGAAAGGACCAAAAAUAAAAAGAAUUUUUAAU